This 74-nucleotide transfer RNA is filed under the name Candidatus Calditenuis sp. Its description in RNAcentral is "tRNA-Met". It matches the Rfam family "tRNA". From Rfam's summary of the family: Transfer RNA (tRNA) molecules are approximately 80 nucleotides in length. Their secondary structure includes four short double-helical elements and three loops (D, anti-codon, and T loops). The record is from RNAcentral. RNAcentral also lists the same sequence under 1 other name. Lineage: Archaea; Thermoproteati; Nitrososphaerota; Candidatus Caldarchaeales; Candidatus Calditenuaceae.
GCCGGGGUACCUCAGCUGGCCAGAGGGCCGGGCUCAUAACCCGGUUGUCGUGGGUUCGAAUCCCACCCCCGGCA